GAUGAACGCUGGCGGCGUGCUUAACACAUGCAAGUCGAACGGUGAAGCCAAGCUUGCUUGGUGGAUCAGUGGCGAACGGGUGAGUAACACGUGAGCAACCUGCCCUGGACUCUGGGAUAAGCGCUGGAAACGGCGUCUAAUACUGGAUAUGAGCCCCUAUCGCAUGGUGGGGGUUGGAAAGAUUUUUUGGUCUGGGAUGGGCUCGCGGCCUAUCAGCUUGUUGGUGAGGUAAUGGCUCACCAAGGCGUCGACGGGUAGCCGGCCUGAGAGGGCGACCGGCCACACUGGGACUGAGACACGGCCCAGACUCCUACGGGAGGCAGCAGUGGGGAAUAUUGCACAAUGGGCGAAAGCCUGAUGCAGCAACGCCGCGUGAGGGAUGACGGCCUUCGGGUUGUAAACCUCUUUUAGCAGGGAAGAAGCGAAAGUGACGGUACCUGCAGAAAAAGCGCCGGCUAACUACGUGCCAGCAGCCGCGGUAAUACGUAGGGCGCAAGCGUUAUCCGGAAUUAUUGGGCGUAAAGAGCUCGUAGGCGGUUUGUCGCGUCUGCUGUGAAAUCCCGAGGCUCAACCUCGGGCCUGCAGUGGGUACGGGCAGACUAGAGUGCGGUAGGGGAGAUUGGAAUUCCUGGUGUAGCGGUGGAAUGCGCAGAUAUCAGGAGGAACACCGAUGGCGAAGGCAGAUCUCUGGGCCGUAACUGACGCUGAGGAGCGAAAGGGUGGGGAGCAAACAGGCUUAGAUACCCUGGUAGUCCACCCCGUAAACGUUGGGAACUAGUUGUGGGGACCAUUCCACGGUUUCCGUGACGCAGCUAACGCAUUAAGUUCCCCGCCUGGGGAGUACGGCCGCAAGGCUAAAACUCAAAGGAAUUGACGGGGACCCGCACAAGCGGCGGAGCAUGCGGAUUAAUUCGAUGCAACGCGAAGAACCUUACCAAGGCUUGACAUAUACGAGAACGGGCCAGAAAUGGUCAACUCUUUGGACACUCGUAAACAGGUGGUGCAUGGUUGUCGUCAGCUCGUGUCGUGAGAUGUUGGGUUAAGUCCCGCAACGAGCGCAACCCUCGUUCUAUGUUGCCAGCACGUAAUGGUGGGAACUC
This 1100-nucleotide ribosomal RNA is filed under the name uncultured bacterium. Its description in RNAcentral is "bacterial SSU rRNA". It matches the Rfam family "Bacterial small subunit ribosomal RNA", at positions 28 to 1140 of the family's 1533-position model. The record is from RNAcentral.